GGGACGUCAGAACGGGACGUCAGCACGCUUGCCGGAUCGUAGAAACUCGUGUGCGCGCACAAGGAGGGUUCGGCCAUUUGUGCUGGGAGAGUGGCAGCGUGCGGAGAUAUAUCUAGAAUGUUAUACAGUCUACUUGCAUAAUGCAUUUAUUUUUUGGAAGAAAGUUGUUUGAACACCACAAGCCUCCAUGAUGGAUCUGAAUGCAAUCCCGUUUUUAGAAGCAGGUGGCUAUAUGUAAUCUGCAUGCCAGAAGGGGAAGACUCCAGUAGUUAAAUGGGUGGCUAUAUGUAAUCUGCAUGCCAGAAGGGGAAGACUCCAGUAGUUAAACUGCCUGUUCUGUGCAUCGCUGUUAGAACUACACCUCUUGGAUUGCAGCUUUCCAGUGGAGUUGUCCUCGGCCUGGCUUUUGACAAACUGUGUCCGUAUCUUGGGAUGGCCUGAAAGUGACCUUUGAAUACUGGGUUCUACAUAAGAUGCUUUCCAGACACCAUUCUGUGAAGCACUUUACUGAUCCAUACUGAUCCAAAGCUGUUGGCAUUGCCUCAGUACUUGCUCUGUCGCUAAAGAUUCGGAUCAGUUGAAAUGGACAUUUCUAGAUGACCAGAUAUAUCUAGAAUGUUAUACAGUCUACUUGCAUAAUGCAUUUAUUUUUUGGAAGGAAGUUGCUCGAAAGACGCAAGCCUCCAUGAUGGAUCUGAAUGUAAUCUGCUCGUUGGUAGAAGCAGGAUAAGCAGGUGGCUAUAUGUAAUCUGCAUGCCAGAAGGGGAAGACUCCAGUAGUUAAACUGGACCGUUCUCUACAUCGCUGUUGGAACUACACCUCUUGGAUUGUGCAGCUUUCCAGUGGAGUUGUUUUCAGCCUGGCUUUUGACAAACGGUCUGUAUCUUGUGGGGAUGGCCUGAAAGCGACUUUUGAAUACUGGGUUCUACAUAAGAUGUUUUCCAGACACCAUUCUGUGAAGCACUUUACAGAUCCAAAGCUGUUGGCAUUACCUCAGCAUUUGCUCUCUAAAGAUUCGAUGGAUAUGUUAUCGACUUUUAAAGAAUCCAGCCAAUAUGAUGGUAUAAAUUGACAAGCAUAUUUGCACACAUUGAAUAUGUUUUUUUAAUAAAUGAUAUAUAAGCUGUUAA
Rana temporaria (common frog) is the source of this 1130-nucleotide long non-coding RNA. RefSeq lists it as uncharacterized. The transcript is spliced from 10 exons. NCBI's taxonomy places the organism in Eukaryota, Metazoa, Chordata, Amphibia, Anura, Ranidae. The record is from RefSeq and is a predicted model, not a curated record.